UACGGAAGGUCCGGGCGUUAUCCGGAUUUAUUGGGUUUAAAGGGAGCGUAGGCGGCCUUUCAAGCGUGUUGUGAAAUGCAGUGGCCCAACCACUGGAUUGCAGCGCGAACUGGGAGGCUUGAGAGCGCACGACGCAGGCGGAAUUUGUGGUGUAGCGGUGAAAUGCUUAGAUAUCACGAAGAACCCCGAUUGCGAAGGCAGCUUGCGGGAGCGCAUCUGACGCUGAAGCUCGAAAGUGCGGGAAUCAAACAGGAUUGGAUACCCUGGUAGUCCGCACGGUAAACGAUGGAUGCCCGUUCUGCGGCCUGAGGGCCGCGGGACCAAGCGAAAGCAUUAAGCAUCCCACCUGGGGAGUACGCCGGCAACGGUGAAACUCAAAGGAAUUGACGGGGGCCCGCACAAGCGGAGGAACAUGUGGUUUAAUUCGAUGAUACGCGAGGAACCUUACCCGGGCUUGAAUUGCAGACUGAUCCGGCAGAGAUGCCGGAGUCCUUCGGGAAGUCUGUGAAGGUGCUGCAUGGUUGUCGUCAGCUCGUGCCGUGAGGUGUCGGCUCAAGUGCCAUAACGAGCGCAACCCCUGUCUCCUGUUGCCAUCAGGUCAAGCUGGGCACACUGGAGAGACUGCCGCCGUAAGGUGUGAGGAAGGUGGGGAUGACGUCAAAUCAGCACGGCCCUUACGUCCGGGGCUACACACGUGUUACAAUGGCCGGUACAGAGCGAGGGUGCCCCGCAAGGUGCAUCAAACCGCGAAAACCGGUCCCAGUUCGGACUGGGGUCUGCAACCCGACCCCACGAAGCUGGAUUCGCUAGUAAUCGCGCAUCAGCCAUGACGCGGUGAAUACGUUCCCGGGCCU
This 854-nucleotide ribosomal RNA is filed under the name uncultured bacterium. RNAcentral describes it as "SSU rRNA". It matches the Rfam family "Bacterial small subunit ribosomal RNA", at positions 524 to 1381 of the family's 1533-position model. The record is from RNAcentral.